Molecule: ribosomal RNA, 487 nt
Filed under: uncultured Enterobacteriaceae bacterium
Lineage: Bacteria; Pseudomonadati; Pseudomonadota; Gammaproteobacteria; Enterobacterales; Enterobacteriaceae
Description: bacterial SSU rRNA
Rfam family: Bacterial small subunit ribosomal RNA
Source: RNAcentral
AUGAACGCUGCGGCAGGCCUACACAUGCAAGUCGAACGGUAGCACAGAGAGCUUGCGUCUCGGGUGACGAGUGGCGGACGGGUGAGUAAUGUCUGGGAAACUGCCUGAUGAGGGGGAGUAACGUACUGGAACGGUAGCUAAUACCGCAUAACGUACGCAAGACCAAAGAGGGGGACCUUCGGGCCUCUUGCCAUCAGAUGUGCCCAGAUGGGAUUAGCUAGUAGGUGGGGUAACGGCUCACCUAGGCGACGAUCCCUAGCUGGUCUGAGAGGAUGACCAGCCACACUGGAACUGAGACACGGUCCAGACUCCUACGGGAGGCAGCAGUGGGGAAUAUUGCACAAUGGGCGCAAGCCUGAUGCAGCCAUGCCGCGUGUAUGAAGAAGGCCUUCGGGUUGUAAAGUACUUUCAGCGGGGAGGAAGGCGAUAAGGUUAAUAACCUUGUCGAUUGACGUUACCCGCAGAAGAAGCACCGGCUAACUCCGUG